This 501-nucleotide ribosomal RNA is filed under the name uncultured bacterium. RNAcentral describes it as "partial 16S ribosomal RNA". It matches the Rfam family "Bacterial small subunit ribosomal RNA", at positions 29 to 523 of the family's 1533-position model. The record is from RNAcentral.
AACGAACGCUGGCGGCAGGCUUAACACAUGCAAGUCGAGCGGGGGAAGGUAGCUUGCUACUGGACCUAGCGGCGGACGGGUGAGUAAUGCUUAGGAAUCUGCCUAUUAGUGGGGGACAACAUCUCGAAAGGGAUGCUAAUACCGCAUACGUCCUACGGGAGAAAGCAGGGGAUCUUCGGACCUUGCGCUAAUAGAUGAGCCUAAGUCGGAUUAGCUAGUUGGUGGGGUAAAGGCCUACCAAGGCGACGAUCUGUAGCGGGUCUGAGAGGAUGAUCCGCCACACUGGGACUGAGACACGGCCCAGACUCCUACGGGAGGCAGCAGUGGGGAAUAUUGGACAAUGGGGGGAACCCUGAUCCAGCCAUGCCGCGUGUGUGAAGAAGGCCUUAUGGUUGUAAAGCACUUUAAGCGAGGAGGAGGCUACUUUAGUUAAUACCUAGAGAUAGUGGACGUUACUCGCAGAAUAAGCACCGGCUAACUCUGUGCCAGCAGCCGCCGCGG